Molecule: long non-coding RNA, 568 nt
Filed under: Homo sapiens (human)
Lineage: Eukaryota; Metazoa; Chordata; Mammalia; Primates; Hominidae
Description: HSALNT0101520
Source: RNAcentral
GGCGCGGCGCCAGGGGCGUUCUUACCUGCCCCCAGGUUAAAGGAGAUCCUGGCCUCUGCGAGAGAUGCGGUCUCAGUAUGUUGUCCAGGCUGAUCUCAGAUCCUUGGCCUCAAAGGAUCCUCCUGUCUGGGUCUCUCAAACUGCUGGGAAUACAAGCAUGAGCCACCACAGCUGACGAACAGCUAUUUUUGAAUAAAGUAAAGGAAGAGAGGGAGGGAGAGAAGAAGGAAGAAGAAAAAAAAGAAAAGAAGUGAAGGAGGGUUAACUACAGCCAAAGAAAAAGAAGCAGCCCAACAGAGAGCUCAGGAAAAUUACACUUCAUACAUCCAACUGCUAUGGAAGAGGAUGGAGGUGAGAAGCGGAGGGAGAAAGAAGGAUGUGAUAUUCCAUCCCCAUUAAGAAAAUUUUUCAAGCCCCCAAUCUGAACCUACUGAAUCAGAAUUUGAGGAGAUGAGACCUGUAUACCUAGAUUUUCAAAAGACUCUCAACUCUAUCCACUCUCAUCACUUCUAUUUAACAUUAUACUGGAGGUCCUGGCCAGGGAAGUAAGGCAAGUAAAAAAAAAUUC